UUUCCGUAGGUGAACCUGCGGAAGGAUCAUUAUCGUACAAAAUGUGAGGGGAAUGCCAGGGCUGUCGCUGCCCCAAAAGUCGUGCACGCCCGAGUGUGUCCUCUUGCAUAAUAAUCCAUCUCUCCCUUUGUGCAUCACCGCGUGGGCACCCUUCGGGAUCAUCUCGGAGGGGGGCUCGCGUUUUCACACAAACCCCCCUUUUAACAGUGUAGAAUGACCACAUUUAUGCAAUCAAUACAACUUUCAACAACGGAUCUCUUGGCUCUC
Molecule: unclassified non-coding RNA, 267 nt
Filed under: plant metagenome
Description: partial contains small subunit ribosomal RNA, internal transcribed spacer 1, and 5.8S ribosomal RNA
Source: RNAcentral